RNAcentral lists this ribosomal RNA (106 nucleotides) under Sorex araneus (European shrew). Lineage: Eukaryota; Metazoa; Chordata; Mammalia; Eulipotyphla; Soricidae. The record is from RNAcentral.
GGUGGGGUCUAUGGCCAUACCACCUGAUCUUGUCUUAUCUCGGAAGCUAAGCAGGGUCGGGCCUGGUUAGUACUUGGAUGGCAGAAGCAAUUGGUGGGUGUUAUCU